GAUGAACGCUGGCGGCGUGCUUAACACAUGCAAGUCGAACGGUGAAGGCGGAGCUUGCUCUGCUGGAUCAGUGGCGAACGGGUGAGUAACACGUGAGCAAUCUGCCCCUGACUCUGGGAUAAGCGCUGGAAACGGCGUCUAAUACUGGAUACGAGCUGCGAAGGCAUCUUCAGCAGCUGGAAAGAAUUUCGGUCAGGGAUGAGCUCGCGGCCUAUCAGCUUGUUGGUGAGGUAAUGGCUCACCAAGGCGUCGACGGGUAGCCGGCCUGAGAGGGUGACCGGCCACACUGGGACUGAGACACGGCCAAGACUCCUACGGGAGGCAGCAGUGGGGAAUAUUGCACAAUGGGCGAAAGCCUGAUGCAGCAACGCCGCGUGAGGGACGACGGCCUUCGGGUUGUAAACCGCUUUUAGCAGGGAAGAAGCGAAAGUGACGGUACCUGCAGAAAAAGCGCCGGCUAACUACGUG
This 468-nucleotide ribosomal RNA is filed under the name uncultured bacterium. RNAcentral describes it as "partial 16S ribosomal RNA". It matches the Rfam family "Bacterial small subunit ribosomal RNA", at positions 28 to 507 of the family's 1533-position model. The record is from RNAcentral.